This 448-nucleotide ribosomal RNA is filed under the name uncultured bacterium. RNAcentral's name for it is "bacterial SSU rRNA". It matches the Rfam family "Bacterial small subunit ribosomal RNA", at positions 355 to 825 of the family's 1533-position model. The record is from RNAcentral.
UGGGGAAUAUUGGACAAUGGGCGCAAGCCUGAUCCAGCCAUGCCGCGUGAGUGAUGAAGGCCUUAGGGUUGUAAAGCUCUUUUUGGCGGGGACGAUAAUGACGGUACCCGCAGAAUAAGCCCCGGCUAACUUCGUGCCAGCAGCCGCGGUAAUACGAAGGGGGCUAGCGUUGUUCGGAAUCACUGGGCGUAAAGCGCACGUAGGCGGACCUUCAAGUCAGGGGUGAAAUCCCGGGGCUCAACCUCGGAACUGCCUUUGAUACUGUUGGUCUCGAGUCCGGAAGAGGUGGGUGGAAUUCCUAGUGUAGAGGUGAAAUUCGUAGAUAUUAGGAAGAACACCGGUGGCGAAGGCGGCCCACUGGUCCGGUACUGACGCUGAGGUGCGAAAGCGUGGGGAGCAAACAGGAUUAGAUACCCCCGUAGUCCCUGAGCGGGCUGGCAAGGCGCAU